AGCUAUUAUGACAACUACAUUUUACAUACCUGAGGAAAGGGCCAUAAUUAAAACUCCCUGGCUAUUAAUUUGAAGAACUAGAGGAUUUCUAAGGCAACCAGUUCCAAGAAUAGAUGAUCUGAAAAGUACAAGAAAAAUCCAUGAUAAUUCAUCACAUAGCCUAAUACACUUCAGCAGCAGAUUGAAAGAACAAUGCCAGUUGCUGUGACUCAAGAAAGAGAACGGAGAAAUCCUCUACGAGCCCCAUGGGUUUACAGAAGCCUAUCAAUUACUCUGUCAGUCUUCCGGAUCAUUAUUCAAGUUGCUAUCCCCAAUUUUUCUGGCUAUAUGAGAUCGACUCCAGCUCCAUAGAUGGACACUGUUUUCUUCUUAUUUUUAAAGACAGCAAAGGGGAAAACUGGUGAAUAGUAUACAGACACUGAAAAAUACAUUGUUACUAUGGCAAUAAAAAGGAGAGCAAAUGUCCAAACUCUUUAUGGUUAAA
This is a non-coding RNA of Ictidomys tridecemlineatus (thirteen-lined ground squirrel), 484 nucleotides long. The record is from RefSeq and is a predicted model, not a curated record. NCBI's taxonomy places the organism in Eukaryota, Metazoa, Chordata, Mammalia, Rodentia, Sciuridae.